RNAcentral lists this ribosomal RNA (599 nucleotides) under uncultured bacterium. Its description in RNAcentral is "bacterial SSU rRNA". It matches the Rfam family "Bacterial small subunit ribosomal RNA", at positions 202 to 801 of the family's 1533-position model. The record is from RNAcentral.
UAAAGAUUCAUCGCUGAUAGAUAGGCAUGCGUUCCAUUAGGCAGUUGGCGGGGUAACGGCCCACCAAACCGACGAUGGAUAGGGGUUCUGAGAGGAAGGUCCCCCACAUUGGUACUGAGACACGGACCAAACUCCUACGGGAGGCAGCAGUGAGGAAUAUUGGUCAAUGGGCGCGAGCCUGAACCAGCCAAGUCGCGUGAGGGAUGAAGGUUCUAUGGAUCGUAAACCUCUUUUAUAAGGGAAUAAAGUGUGGGACGUGUCCUAUUUUGUAUGUACCUUAUGAAUAAGGAUCGGCUAACUCCGUGCCAGCAGCCGCGGUAAUACGGAGGAUCCGAGCGUUAUCCGGAUUUAUUGGGUUUAAAGGGUGCGUAGGCGGCCUUUUAAGUCAGCGGUGAAAGUCUGUGGCUCAACCAUAGAAUUGCCGUUGAAACUGGGGGGCUUGAGUAUGUUUGAGGCAGGCGGAAUGCGUGGUGUAGCGGUGAAAUGCUUAGAUAUCACGCAGAACCCCGAUUGCGAAGGCAGCCUGCCAAGCCAUGACUGACGCUGAUGCACGAAAGCGUGGGGAUCAAACAGGAUUAGAUACCCUGGUAGUCCACGCA